RNA transcript from Sorghum bicolor (sorghum), 3782 nucleotides. RefSeq lists it as uncharacterized. Lineage: Eukaryota; Viridiplantae; Streptophyta; Magnoliopsida; Poales; Poaceae. The transcript has 8 exons. The record is from RefSeq and is a predicted model, not a curated record.
UCCCACCCCACGCAUGCAAAACAAAGUCUUCUGGCCUCACUCCAUUGGCUGUGCGGACAUGCUGCGCUCCUGCACGGACCCCCUCCUCGGCCGCCGCUCCCAGAUUCACCAAGCCAGGACGCUCGACGGACCGGGUGCCCGCCCGGCCCCUGGCCGCCCUUCGCCGCGAUCCCUUCCUGCCCUGUAGCUGUAGUAGGCCUUGCAGCUCGGCGCAGCCGAAAGCAGGUGGUGCGCGCCGCCCGCCCGCUUCUCUGGUGCCGGUGUGGUGUUUCUAAUAAGGCCCCGGCCGGCGCGCUGCGAUGGGGCGAAUGCAGUGAGAUGAGAUGGUAGUGAUUCGCUACUCCCAGAGGUGCAGGUGUAAAUGCAGUCCAAAAAAUCGGCAUGAGCCCCCUCUCUGAGCUGGUGUGGUCUCCGGAUGAGGGAUUGAGCAUCAAAAUUGCGGCGUCCAGUCUAAGCACAAGGAAGGCUUCUCUUCGUUGGAAUGCAGAUACGUUGAGCAUAUUAAUAUCUUCACCUCAACACAGUGGUUCUGGUCCGGGUGUAAAGAGUGGUGAUACCAUAUAUGAUAACCUAGAGGUGUCAGAAAAGAUGCCAUCACAACUACGAAUUCGUAGUGAUAGCUCAGUGAGAGUAACGAUGGAUAGCCCCAACAGAGUUACAAAUGUUGAUGCCCUACAAUCUACGUCUAUAAGAUCGCAGGAGCAAGAUUCAACUAAACUUGUAGAGUGCUGUGAAGGGAUCAAUGUCAUGAACGAAGGGGAAGAAGAGUUGGAAAACUGUUGCCUGGAUAAGCUGGAGGACAUGGAAGCGAGGAAUUGUCCCACAAGAUAUUGCAAGGAUGCUUCCCAUAGUUCAGCCUCCAGAAAAGAAGUCAUGCCUAGUAUUUCAGAAAACCAGGUUUGCUGUGCAACCACUGUCCGCAAUGAAAGAUCUUGGGCAACUAAUGCAUGGCGUGCUCGGUUAGUAAAAGCAGUUUGUCAGAAAGAACCUAUGUUGUCAAUGAACACAGAGAAUCCAAUGUUACCUUCUUCCUUAGGAAUUUCAUGUGAUGCAGUAGAGGUCUCAGGCAAAUUGGUAGGUUCCCAAGGCAAUAGAAAUGUUCAAAGCCUGGGCAGUGACAACAAUGUAAUUAGUAAUGCACCAGAAAUUCCUUCUCAUAACAAUUGCCAAGAUCCGGUUCUGCAGGAAAGCCAUAAGGAUGAGCCUGUUGUUGCGAGAGGUGAGUCAGCAUCUGGUGUUAAUGCUGUUGCAAGAUGCGAGUCAGUGCCUGGAGUUAAUUCCAGAAAACUUGUGAAAGACAAAGAAAAAGUUCUGUACAAUGACAGCAAUUAUGGUAACAAUACAAUGGAGGGUGAUGACAGCAAUGAGAGCAUCGAGAGCUGUACAAGUACAAAAGCCCCAAAGCGGAAGCAUGCACAGUUUUGUGCAGCUACAAUGCCUUCUUCUGGAAACAAAAGAUUUAGAAGAGAAGACAAUGAAAGUUCUUGCUCAGGAUUAUUGCAAAAAUGUGGUACAUCUUUCUUCAACUGGAUGUCAUCACUUACGAAUGGGUUACCCAUGCUUGAUGGAGCCACUGCUGCCAUUCCACUUGAUCAGAAGUUUUCAGCAAGUACAGGAGAGGGAUCUGCAGCACCUUCCCAGCCACUUCAAAACAACAGCAGCGUUCCUAUGCAAUCUGUUGGCUUCAAUUCGCUCUUCCAGUCCCUGUAUACUCAUAAUGUUAUGAUAACUUCAAGAGAUAAUUGUCAUCAACCAGAGAGCAACUAUGCUGGGCAUGUGUUCAAUAGACUGACUCUGGAAUUAAAUGACAGCAAUUCUAUGUUGGACAAACAAAUUGGCAUGGGUAGAGAAACUCUUGACAGUGGCUGUAAAAAAAAUCAGUGCACAGCUGCCUGCUCAAAUGAUGCAACACAAAAUAAAGGUGGUUUGAGGGAAAGCUUGUGGGUAACUCGGCUUUUGCCAAAAGCAUCCGUGGAAUUGAUGGAGGCAACACCAUGCAAUGUAGAAAAUGCUGUUAAUCCACAGGCUGUGGGUGACAAGUUGUGUUGUCCACCUCUUCAGAAUUUUAACUUGGAGAGAGGAAGCAGCGAUGGUGUAACAAGUAGUAAAUGUCCAGCAACGCCUCCAGAGGAACCUAAGCAAUCUGAAACAAUGGCUUCUGUUUUUGCAAAGAGAUUGGAUGCACUUAGACAUGCAAACACAUCUGCAGUAAGGCUGGCUAUCGCAUGUGACCGUGGAAGUCCCAAACUGAGAAACCACAAAACUAACUCUUUUGUUGUUAGUUACAGCAGCCAUGAUAAAGUAGAGGCAGGACACGAAAAUCAUAAAUCAUCUAGCAGAAACGGAAGAAUAGUUUUGUGGUUAGGUGACAAAGGCAAGGAACAGUUGUGUCUAAGCAACAAAGAAUCAAGAGGAAACUUUAUAUCUGAGCAUGAGCAUCAGCAUCAUGGAGGGAACACAGCUGGAAAAUCUGCAACUCGGCCUAAUUUAGAACUGAACACAUUGGCUGAAGAUACUGACAGAAGCCAAGUAAAAUUAAAGGGAGGAGUCUCAGAUUUUAUGGCGGGUCCGUCAGAUAACAAGCAAAUCGUACCUUAUGGCACUAUGCCUAAUGAUGUCUGUGAUGAAUCAAGUGUUGUUUUUGGUGCCUUACAUAGGCUUCGUCUGUCUCGCUCAGAUAUCAUAAGAUGGCUGAGAUCACCGAUCAUGCACACUACGUUAGAUGGCUUUUUUGUCCGAUUGCGAUUUGGUAAAUGGGAGGAAGCAUUGGGUGGCACAGGAUACCAUGUUGCCCGCCUGAAUGGAGCACUGGAUAGGAGUCGCCUUUCUGUAACCAUCAGAAAUUCAACCUGUCAAGUAGAUUCUCGCUUUGUAUCCAACCAUGACUUCCAUGAGGAUGAGCUGAAGGCAUGGUGGUCUGCUGCAAUGAAGAGUGAGUGGAAGCUACCGUCAAAGGAAGAACUGAGUGUGAAGCUAAGAGAAAGAGAGCUACUUCGUUCGUAGAAUGGAACAGUUGGAAGGCUUCUAUCCGUCCUACACUCCUACUAAUUAACUUAAUGGAAAGUUAUGAGCCAGUUGAUGAGGCAUGUAUUAUUUCACCACGAUAAGUUGUAUAGUGUUGAUUUUUGCGGUUAGUCUGCAAAGGCGACGCUGCUAUGGCUACCACCCUUGGAGAUCUACGCAUCAUUUAUAUUAAGAAGAAAGAGUUUACAGUGCACCAACGCGCAACAAGCGCGCUAGGUGGUCAACAGCUGGACCGACCUAGCAAAGAGUUGUGUGGACCGAUAUUACAUAAAUGGGUCAACCAAAACGUGCUCGACAUCGAGACCUACGAGUCUUCCUGGAAGAGCUCGCACGCACGCCCGUUGAACGCUGGGAACAACGCAUCUAGGGCCUCCACCUCGCUCGUGGACUUUUCGACAAAGUCCCGGAGUGCAGGGCAUCGAGUAUCCCCCUCGGCGCAGGCGAAACCGGUGCGGUCGGCGGAGCGAUCCCCAGUCGCUUGUUCAGGAGAACCUCGCCCCGCCUAGCACUUGACUUCUUUUUUUUUUGAUGGGAUGAGCUCCUGUGUGAUAUCCUAUUAUCUGUAAAUAGGAAGGCACUGACAGAUUUGUACAAUUGUACAACUUUUUUGGGGGGGGAAGAAACUUGAAAUAAGAUUACUUAUCAUUAACCACUGCUUUCCUUUAUCUGGGUCGUUCGCGGGGAUAUAUAGUGUGUUUAUUUGCCUGUAAAUAUAAGCAAAUGCAGGCAGUAUAGAUGGAUGCAAAAAUACACCAUCA